RNAcentral lists this ribosomal RNA (428 nucleotides) under uncultured bacterium. RNAcentral describes it as "bacterial SSU rRNA". It matches the Rfam family "Bacterial small subunit ribosomal RNA", at positions 354 to 796 of the family's 1533-position model. The record is from RNAcentral.
GUGGGGAAUAUUGCGCAAUGGGGGAAACCCUGACGCAGCAACGCCGCGUGAUCGAAGAAGGUCUUCGGAUUGUAAAGAUCUUUUAUCAGGGACGAAGAAAGUGACGGUACCUGAUGAAUAAGCUCCGGCUAACUACGUGCCAGCAGCCGCGGUAAUACGUAGGGAGCGAGCGUUAUCCGGAUUUACUGGGUGUAAAGGGCGAGUAGGCGGGCUGGUAAGUUGGAAGUGAAAUGUCGGGGCUUAACCCCGGAACUGCUUUCAAAACUGCUGGUCUUGAGUGAUGGAGAGGCAGGCGGAAUUCCUAGUGUAGCGGUGAAAUGCGUAGAUAUUAGGAGGAACACCAGUGGCGAAGGCGGCCUGCUGGACAUUAACUGACGCUGAGGAGCGAAAGCGUGGGGAGCAAACAGGAUUAGAAACCCUAGUAGUCC